ACCACUAGUGUAAAAUUAACAUGCAAUAGACAUGGCUUGUGACAUAAACAAUGUUAGAUGAAACGAGAGAGGGGACUUUAUCCAGACUCCGAGCUCUUUCCACGAUUAGCAAAGACCUGCCUAUCAAAGCCAUCAAUAACUCCACCGCCAGUCCGGCCAGUAACCUGAUCAAUAGCCACACUCCAGCGGCCGCUGCCAAAUCCAGCCCAGUCACUCCACCUUCCCACUGCCGAGCACUCCCUUCAUCCGAAUGAAGGACCAGGACGCGAUUAAACUCUUCAUUGGGCAAAUUCCGAGGAACCUCGAGGAAAAAGACCUGAAACCUUUAUUUGAGGAAUUUGGGAAAAUUUAUGAGCUCACAGUACUGAAAGACAGAUACACCGGAAUGCACAAAGGUUGCGCCUUCCUGACGUACUGUGCGAGGGAGUCUGCAUUGAAAGCACAGACUGCGUUACAUGAGCAGAAGACACUGCCUGGGAUGAAUCGGCCCAUCCAGGUGAAGCCAGCAGACAGUGAAGGUCGAGGAGAGGACCGGAAGCUCUUUGUGGGAAUGCUGGGGAAACAACAGACCGACGAGGAUGUCCGGAAAAUGUUCGAGGCUUUUGGGACCAUCGAGGAGUGCACGAUUCUGCGAGGGCCAGACGGCAUCAGUAAAGGUUGUGCCUUUGUGAAAUUCCAGACGCAUGCAGAAGCGCAGGCCGCAAUCGUUGCACUGCACGGGAGCCGCAUGUUACAGGGGGCGUCGUCGAGCCUGGUGGUGAAGUUCGCAGACACGGACAAAGAGCGCAGCCUACGGCGGAUGCAGCAGGUGGCGGGGCAGCUGGGGGUCUUCAGUCCCAUGGCCGUACAGUUCGGAGCCUACAGUGCGUACACGCAGGCGCUGAUGCAACACCAAGCAGCACUGAUGGCUGCUGCACAGACCGCCUACCUCAACCCCAUGGCCACAGCCGUCCAGCUGCAGCAGGUGGCAGCCGUCAACGCCAGCAGCCUGAUCGCCAGCUCACUGACAUCACCCUCAGGAAGCAGCACGCCCCCAGGAAUGCCGGCGGCCCAGGUUCCAGCCAUUGCUGCACCCCUUGCCCUCAACGGUUAUAGCCAGAUCGCUGGUCAGACCAACGGCCAGGCAGCCUCUGAAGCCAUCUACACCAACGGGGUCCAUUCCUACCCAGCACAAAGCCAAGCAACUGGCCCUCCAGCCUUGGACCCCCUACAGCAGGCAUAUGCAGGCAUGCAGCACUACACAGCAGCGUAUCCAGCCACCUAUGGAGUUGUCAGCCAAUCAUUUCCACAGCAGCCGGCUCCUGUAUCUCAGCAGCAGCGGGAGGGCCCCGAAGGCUGCAAUAUCUUCAUCUACCACCUGCCCCAGGAAUUCACCGACUUUGAGCUGCUGCAGAUGUUCCUGCCAUUUGGAAACGUCAUUUCUGCCAAGGUGUUCGUCGACCGGGCAACGAAUCAAAGUAAAUGUUUCGGUUUCGUGAGCUUCGAUCACCCGGCCAGUGCACAGACCUCCAUCCAAGCCAUGAACGGCUUCCAGAUCGGCAUGAAAAGGUUAAAAGUCCAGCUGAAGAGGCCGAAGGAUGCCAACCGACCGUACUAGACCUGCAGAUAACCCCAUCCGUAGAGACCCACACUCCCCCGAGGGAGGGGGGGGGAAGAAUCACUCCCCACUGCACCACACACAAACCAAACGUUCCUUUAAACACAAAAGCACGUUGGGGAUGAGAGCGACACACACUCAGCACCACCCUCUCUGCCGCUGCCCAGCAGGGCCCAUGGGUGUCGCUGGAGAGCCGUAGGUCCCGCCUUGAAGAAGCUGUGGUCUCUUCCCCCACCCCCUCCCCUCCCACGCCGCACUGACGGAGGUUCCUCGCUGGACAGCCAAGCAGCAAAAACAGCCUAUGGCAGGGCCCCUGGAAUUGUGGGGACCAGACCUCACCUCUCUCUUCCCCUCCCUCCCCCCAGAGCCAAUGGUGUGAACAUCCCUCGGGUGGGAUUCAGGGCUGAGGUCCAACCACUCGACACUACAGAGACUGAUUGGCCCAGCUCCCCUGUGCAGCCCUCGCCCAGAGGGGUGGGGGGACCUCUGUGAAUUUGUGUCUCUCUCCCCCUCCAGAGCACUCAGCACGUCUCCUGCCCCCUCCCUCGUUCCACCACUUCCCAGCAGCUGCUCACCACCCUCCCCAGCACCACCCGUCCUGCUUCACACACAAACUACCAAGAGUCAAUGAUGAGAAGUGCCAGGACCCCCCCCUCCCCCCGGGUACUCGGGGGCAGGACUCAGAACCAUUCCCUGAUCACCCACAUCAACCGCUGGCAGCUGUCGAGAACACAGAGCUCCCACAGGCUGGGGUGGUCUGGGACUUCCCCUUUCAUUCCAGGCCGCAGGGGACAGAGCAAGACACACACUGACCACGUGCCCAUCUGCAUUACAUCAAGCAACACAAAAACACACCAGUCAUGCACUUUCCAACCAGACAGGGGUGGCUGCACAGUGACAGAGUCCCCAGGCACACCGACAUUGGGCAAGUGUACAACAACUCACCUUAAACACCAAAGGAGCUUCAGCACCUGCUGGAGAAACAACCUGGCAGUUAGUCCUCCUGCUCCAUCUCUUUCUUACUUAUUUAAUAUUUAUUGUACAUAAUCAAAUGGAUUAAAUUAAUUCCAGCCUGAAUGGUUAAAUCUAACAAAUUCCAUGUGACCAGCUCAUGGCACCUGGAACUUGUGAGCAAGAGGCUUGUAU
This is an RNA transcript of Pristis pectinata (smalltooth sawfish), 2743 nucleotides long. It is a transcript of the gene named CUGBP Elav-like family member 3-B, with no coding region annotated. The transcript is spliced from 15 exons. The record is from RefSeq and is a predicted model, not a curated record. NCBI's taxonomy places the organism in Eukaryota, Metazoa, Chordata, Chondrichthyes, Rhinopristiformes, Pristidae.